UCCUACGGGGGGCAGCAGUGGGGGAUAUUGCACAAUGGGGGAAACCCUGAUGCAGCGACGCCGCGUGGGUGAAGAAGCGCCUCGGCGCGUAAAGCCCUGUCAGCAGGGAAGAAAAUGACGGUACCUGACUAAGAAGCCCCGGCUAACUACGUGCCAGCAGCCGCGGUAAUACGUAGGGGGCAAGCGUUAUCCGGAUUUACUGGGUGUAAAGGGAGCGUAGACGGCGAUGCAAGUCUGAAGUGAAAGGCGGGGGCCCAACCCCCGGACUGCUUUGGAAACUGGAUGGCUGGAGGGCAG
RNAcentral lists this ribosomal RNA (297 nucleotides) under uncultured bacterium. Its description in RNAcentral is "partial 16S ribosomal RNA". It matches the Rfam family "Bacterial small subunit ribosomal RNA", at positions 337 to 651 of the family's 1533-position model. The record is from RNAcentral.